UACGAAGGGGGCUAGCGUUGCUCGGAAUUACUGGGCGUAAAGCGCACGUAGGCGGAUUGUUAAGUCGGGGGUGAAAUCCUGGAGCUCAACUCCAGAACUGCCUUCGAUACUGGCGAUCUCGAGUCCGGGAGAGAUGAGUGGAACUGCGAGUGUAGAGGUGAAAUUCGUAGAUAUUCGCAAGAACACCAGUGGCGAAGGCGGCUCACUGGCCCGGUACUGACGCUGAGGUGCGAAAGCGUGGGGAGCAAACAGG
This 253-nucleotide ribosomal RNA is filed under the name uncultured bacterium. Its description in RNAcentral is "partial 16S ribosomal RNA". It matches the Rfam family "Bacterial small subunit ribosomal RNA", at positions 524 to 776 of the family's 1533-position model. The record is from RNAcentral.